This 234-nucleotide long non-coding RNA is filed under the name Solanum tuberosum (potato). RNAcentral describes it as "long non-coding RNA (STUB_LNC006723)". Lineage: Eukaryota; Viridiplantae; Streptophyta; Magnoliopsida; Solanales; Solanaceae. The record is from RNAcentral.
CCGCUCACUCAUCCCCGUAUCUUUUUGAAAAUCUCUUUGGAGUUUCCCUCCUUUUUCUCUCCCACUUAUAAAUUUUGGGACUUAGGGUUUCUCUUUCUUCACAUUCAGUAUGACUAAUUUGAACAUAUAUCAGACCCAUCUCUACCCAUUCACCGCCGAUGCCGCCGGUAAAUUCCUAAUCUAGGCAGCGAAUGCACUAUUUUAUACUGUUGUCAGUUUUCUUUUGUGUGUUGA